GUGCGUGGCGUGUCCGCUGGACCAGGGGACGGGGGCGCGCCGCAGGUGUAGGAGCUUUGCGCGCCUACCUGGCGGUCGUGGGUCGAGGAGGGGUCAAGAAUUGUUGUCUAGCAGCCCUCUCCCCGCUGCCCUGUCCUGGCCGAGGCAAAGGCCGCGUGCGCUCCGCGUCUGCCAGGCUUUAGGGCUGCGCGGACACUGGGUGGGUGGUGGGCCGAGGCGACCGGAAGGUCCUGGCCGCCUUUCCGGUCUCCUCAGCACCCUGGAGCGCCGCCCUCGGGUUUCGGUCUCCUGGAUCUGCGGGUCGGUCUCGGCGGGCGGAUUACUCCUCGCCCACAACCUCGAGGCCCCGGGGUCAACCGCGCCCUCCGGGCCGGCAACCCAGGGUUUAGUCAGAUUCCUCCUGACCCACCGCUUCUGGGAAAGAGGCGCCUCCCGUCAGGAGGAUGCUGAGUUCCUCAUGACUGGACCAGUGAGUGUCCACUCCCUGGUCCCUGGCGAGAGAGGCGGGACCCCCACGCCCUCCUGGCGCUCUUUGCAGAGAUGUUCCUCAGGCCCAAUCCGGGAUUUGGGAUGUCUGUGCGUGCUGUGGAGCAGAGAGUUUGCAACAUGGUCUCACUUUGUCACCCAGGCUGGAAUGCAUUGGCAUGAACACGUCUCACUGCAGCCUCAACCUCCCAGGCUGAAGUGACCCUCCAACUCUGCUUUCACAGUAGCUGUGAUAUGGUUUGGCUGUGUCCCCACCCACAUCUCAUCUUAAAACCCAGUGGGAGGUAAUUGAAUCAUGGGGGCAAGUCUUUCCUGUGCUGUUCUUGUGAUAGUGAAUAAGUCUCAUGAGAUCUGAUGGUUUUUAAAAGAGUUCUGGCUGGGCAUGGUGGUGGGCACCUGUAAUCCAAACUACUAGGGAGGCUGAGGCAGAGUGAAUUGCUUGAACCUGGGAGAAGGAGGUUGCAGUGAGCCGAGAUUGCACCGCUGCACUCCAGCCUGGGCAAAAUUGAAGACUCUGUCUCCAAAAAAAAAAAAAAGGAGUUCCUCUGCAUAAGCUCUCUCUCUUUGCCUGCUGCCAUCCAUGUAAGAUGUGACUUGCUCUUCCUUGCCCUAUGAUUGUGAGUCUUUCCCCAGCCACGUGGAACUGUAAGUCCAAAUAAACCUCUUUCUUUUGUAAAUUGCCCAGUCUUGGGUAUGUCUAUCAGCAGCAUGGAAAUGGACUAAUACAGUAAAUUGGUACCAGUAGAGUGGGGUGUUGCUGAAAAGAUACCUGAAAAUGUGAAAGUGACUUUGGAACUGGGUAGCAGGCAAACAUUGGAACAGUUUGGAGGGCUCAGAAGAAGACAGGAAAAUGUAGGAAAGUUUGGAACUUCCUAGAGACUUGUUGAAUGGCAUUGACAAAAAUGCUAAUAGUGAUACGAACAAUAAGAUCCAGUCUGAGGUGGUCUCAGAUGGAGAUGAGGAACUUGUUGGGAACUGGAGCAAAGGUGACUCUUGUUAUGUUUUAGCAAAGAGACUGGUGACAUUUUGCCCCUGCCCGAGAGAUUUGUGGAACUUUGAACUUGAGGGAGAUGAUUUAGGGUAUCUGGUGGAAGACAUUUCUUUUUUUUUUUUUGUGACGGAGUCUUGCAUUGUCGCCUGGGGUGGAGUGCAAUGGUCUGAUCUCAGCUUACUGGGUUCAAGCAAUUCUGUCUCAGCCUCCCGAGUAGCUGGGAUUACAGGCGUCCGCCACCACGCCCUUCUAAUUUUUUGUAUUUUUAGUAGAGACGGUUUCACUAUGUUGGCCAGUGGAAGACAUUUCUAAGCAGCAAAGCAUUCAAGAGGUGGCUUGGGUGUUGUUAAAGGCAUUCUGUUUUGACUGGGUGCGGUGGUGCACACCUAUAAUCCCAGCACUUUGGGAGGCCGAGGAGGGUGGAUCAAGAGGUCAGGAGUUCAAGACCAGCCUGGCCAAUAUGGUGAAACCCUGUCUCUACUGGAAAUACAAAAAUUAGCUUGGCAUGGUGGUGUGCGCCUGUAGUCCCAGCUUCUCGGGAGGCUGAGGCAGGAGAAUCGCCUGGACCCGGGAGGUGGAGGUUCCAUUGAGCCAAGAUCAUGCCACUGACUCCAGCCUGGGCAACAGACUGAGACUCUGUCUCAAAAAAAAAGAAAAAAAAAAAGGCAUUCAGUUUUAUAAGGGAAGCAGAGCAUAAAAGUUUGGGAAAUUUGCAGCCUGACAAUGUGAUAGUAAAGAAAAUCCCAUUUUCUGAGAGGAAAUUCAAGCUGGCUGCAAAAAUUUGCAUAAGUACCAAGGAGCCGAAUGUUAAUAUCCAAGACAAUGGGGAAAAUAUCUCCCAGACAUGUCAGAGGUCUUCAUGGCAGCCCCUCCCAUCAACAGGUCCAGAGGCCUAGGAGGAAAAAGUGGUUUUGUGGGCAGCACCCAGGGUCCCCAUGCUAUGUGCAGCCUAGGGACUUGGUGCCGUGCGUCUCAGCUCCUCCAGUGGUGACUGAAAGGGGCCAACAUAGAGCUCGGGCUGCUGCUUCAUGGGGUGGAAGUCCCAAAUCUUGGCAGCUUCCAUGUGGUGUUGAGCCUGCGAGUACAUAGAAGUCAAGAAUUGGGGUUUGGGAACCUCCAUCUAGAUUUCAGAAGAUAUAUGGAAAUUCCUGGAUGCCCAGGCAGAAGUUUGCUGUAGGGGUGGGGCCUUCAUGGAGAACCUCUGCUAGAGCAGUGCAGAAGGGAAAUGUGGGGUCGGAGCCCCCACACAGAGUCCCCGCUGCGGCCCUGCCUGAUGGAGCUGUGAGAAGUGGACCACCGUUCUCCAGACCCCAGAAUGGUAGAUCCACCGACAGCUUGCACCGUGUGCCUGGAAAAGCUGCAGACACUCAAUGCCAGCCUAUGAAAGCAGCCUGGAGGGAGGCUUUACCCUGCAAAGCCACAGAAGUGGAGCUGCCCAAGACCAUGGGAAUCCACCUCUUGCAUCAGUGUGACCUGGAUGUGAGACAUGGAGUCAAAGGAUAUCAUUUUGAAGCUUUAAGAUUUGACUGCCCUGCUGGAUUUCAGACUUGCAUGGGUCCUGUAGCCCCUUUGUUUUGGCCAAUUUCUCCCAUUUGGAAUGGCUAUAUUUACCCAAUGCUUAUACCACCAUUCUAUCUAGGAAGUAAAUAACUUGCUUUUGAUUUUACAGGCUCAUAGGCAGAAGGGAUUUGCCUUGUCUCAGAUGAGACUUUGGACUGCGGACUUUUGAGUUAAUGCUGAAAUGAGUUAAGACUUCGGAGGACUAUUGGGAAGGCAUGAUUGGUUUUGAAAUGUGAGGACAUGAGAUUUGGGAGGGGCCAGGGGUGGAAGGAUACGGUUGGGUUCUGUGUCCCCACCCAAGUCUUAUCUUGUAGCUCCCAUAACCCAUGUGUCUUGGGAGGGACCUGGUAAUUCAAUCAUGUGGGCUGGAUGCGGUUGCUCAUGCCUGUAAUCCCAGCACUUUGGGAGGCCAAGGGGGAGAUCACUUGCGAUCAGGAGUUUGAGACCAGCCUGGCCAACAUGGUGAAACCCCAUCUAUACUAAAAAUACAAAAAUUAGCCAGGCACGGUGGUGGGCACCUGUAAUCCCAGCUACUUGGGAGGCUGAGGCAUGAGAAUCACUUGAACCUGGAGGCGGAGGUUGCAGUGAGCCGAGAUCGCACCACUGCACUCCAGCCUGGGCGUCAAAGUGAAACUUAGUCUUAAAAAAAAAAAAAAAAAGAAGAAUGGGAGUGGGUCUUUCCUGUGCUGUCCUCAUGAUAGAGAAUAAGUCUUACAAGAUCUGAUGGUUUUAAAAAUGAGAGUUAUUUCUCUCUUCUCUUGUCUGCCACCAUGUGAGUCAUGCCUUUCACCUUCCACCAUGAUUGUGAGGCCUCCCCAGCCACGUGGAACUGUAAGUCCAAUAAACCUCUUUCUUUUUUUUUUUUUUUUUUUUUUUUUUUGAGACGGAGUCUCACUCUGUUGCCCAGGCUGGAGUGCAGUGGCGCGAUCUCGGCUCACUGCAAGCUCCGCCUCCCAGGUUCACGCCAUUCUCCUGCCUCAGCCUCCCGUGUAGCAGGCAUUGUCACAGGCGCCUGCCACCACACCCACCUAAUUUUUUUGUAUUUUUAGUAGAGACGGGGUUUCACCGUGUUAGCCAGGGUGGUAUCGAUCUCCUGACCUUGUGAUCCGCCCACCUUGGGCUCCCAAAGUGUUGAGAUUACAGGCGUAAGCCACUGCACCCGGCAAUAAACCUCUUUCUUUUGUAAAUUGCCCAGGUAUGUCUUUAUCAGCAGCAUGAAAAUGGACUCAUACAAUGAUCCAUUACCUAGGGUAAAAUUCUCCUGAAUGUCAAACAGAGAUAAACUACAUUUGGGUUUUGGGUAAGUCCCCUGUAAUGAUGAAUCAAGAAUCCUCAAGUCUGUCUUGCCACCCAUUUAAUACGUAUUUUUGUUAAGGCUGAAGUUUAGAGUUAGAAUCAGGACAUUUUGGCCUAUUGAGAGGUUCUGAAUUCCAACAGAAGAUGCCAUGUAAAUCAGUGAAUUUGAUUCUUUUAAAAGCAACUUACAAAAUUUACAAGAUGUAUUCAAUAAAGCAGUUUAGCUUUGGUAUAUCAAACCUUAUAAUGAACCAUUUUUCCCACUUCAUCUUAUGCAAUGUUUAAUAUUUUCUAUUUUUGUCAAGGAUAUUAAACCUACACCUGGAAACAUAUUAAAUGCCAACUUAAAAUGUGAGAAGUUUGGCAGAACUCAGACCCAUUCUUCCAAUUUCCAAGCUGUUUAAUCACACUGAUUCAGACACUCUGGAUAGCAGCUGGGAUUGUAGUUAUCUUUAUGCUUUGAGCUCUCUAGUUUUGUCUACACAUCUUAUAAAAUAUCCCCUCCUCAUUCUCCUCUAGCUGGAACACUAACCCAAUGGAUGUUGUGGUGAACUUUCUUUGACCAGGCAGAGAAGUGCAGCAUUGGGUGGACCAUGCACAACCAGUUUGAGAAGCACUGCUCUAGGGGUUGGGGGAGCAACAAUAGAAAGAGUGUAGGUUCUGAAUACCUGAAGCAUACAUUUUAGCUCUAGACUGCUUAUAUUGUUGUUACAUGAAAGAGAACUUUUAAUCUGGUUUAAACCACUGGAUCUCUUUAUUCCAGCAAGUGAAUCUAUAUCCAACUAAUAUUUACUCCCAGUCUGUUCUUUCUCACCCCUCUUUCCCUUACUAUAAACCUUUUCUAUAUCAAUUUAUAUCAUUAGUUGCUCAGCCCACAAACCAGAUGUCACUUUUGUUUUCUCUUUUCCUUCCCAUUCAUAGCCAGGCCAUCGUUGUGACUUAUUGGCUGUACCUCCAAAAUAUAUCCCAGAUCUGAUCUCUUCUUAUAAUUUGUACUGCUACAACCUUAGUCAAAGCCACUAAUAUCUCUUAUCUGAACUCCAGUGGUUUACUAGUUUUCUGCCUCUCUUCUUGACACAAUUCAUCUUUCUACAUAGCAGCCAGAGUAAGAUAAAAUCAUAAAUCAGAUCAUAUAACUUCUACCCCCUGUACCAAUGGCUAUCUUUUAUACUCAGAAUAAAAUCCAAAACCUUUAUUUGGCUUCCAAGAUCCUACAAGAUAGAGACCUUACUUCUCAUCUUGUACCCAUCAUUUGAUCUUCAGUCCCUUGAAAAUGCCAAGUCUAUUUCCAUUUCAGGGCCUUUGUGCUUGUUACUAUUGUUUCUUUUCUCUUGGAAAACUGCCCAGAUCUUUCCUUAGCUGAAUUAUUCAGAUCCCAACUCAAAUAUCAUCUCUUUAGAAAAUUCUUUCAGAACCAGGUGUGGUGGUGCACACCUGUAAUCUCAGCUACUCGAGUGGCUGAGGCUGAUGGAUUUCUUGAGCCCAGAAGUCUGAGGCCAGCCUGGGCAAUAUAGCAAGAUCCUGUCAAAAAGAAAAAGGUAUCUCACCAUGAUUAUAUUUUAAUUUCCCUUCAGCAAUUAGAAGUCCCUGAAAUUAAUUUACCUUAUUUGUUGGCAUUUGUUGGCAUUGUGCAAGUAAUGCUUGCACCCAGGAGGCAGAGUUUGCAGUGAGCUGAGAUCACGCCACUGCACUCUAGCUUGGGCAAUAGGGCGAGACUGAGUCUCAAAAUAAAUAAAUAAAUACAUAAAAUAAUUUUAGAGACAGAGUCUUGCUCUGUUGCCCAGGCUGGAGUGAAGUGGUGGGAUCUCGGCUUACUGCAACCUCUGCCUCCUGGGUUCAAGCGAUUCUCCUGCCUCAGCCUCCUGAGUAGCUGGGAUUACAGGCGUGCACCACCACGCCUGGCUAAAUUUUGUAUUUUUAGUAGAGAUGGGGUUUUGCCGUGUUGGUCAGGCUGGUCUCGAACUCCUGACCUCUGAUCUGCCCACCUCGGCCUUCCAGAGUGCUGGGAUUACAGGCAUGAGCCACCAUGGGCCCACAAAGCUAUUUUACUUAGCAUUUUUUUUCCCGAGGCUAAAUUGGGAACUACUGACAAUACUAUUGACAAUACUAAAUAUAUUUUUAAAUUAUUUUACUUAUUUUUGAGACAGGGUCUCACUGUGUCACCCACGCUGUAGUGCAGUGAACCAUCACCACUCACUGCAGUCUCACCCUUCCUGAACUCAGGUGAUCCUCCCACCUCAGCCUCCUGAGUAGCUGGGACUACAGGCAUGCACCACCAUGCCUGGCUAAUUUUUAAAAUUUUUUGUAGAGAUGGAGUUUCGCCAUGUUGCCCAGGCUGGUCUCAAACUUCUGGGUUCAAGUGAUGCAAGUGUCUCAGCCUCCUAAAGUGCUAGGAUUACAGGCGUAAGCCACUAUGCCCAGCCUUUUAUUUUAUUUUAUUUUAUUUAUUUAUUUUUUGAGACAGAGUCUUGUUCUGUUGCCCAGGCUAGAGUGCAGUGGUGCAAUCUCAGCUCACUGCAACCUCUGCCUCCCAGGUUCAAGCGAUUAUCAUGUCUCAGCCUCCCUAGUAGCUGGGAUUACAAGUGUGCACCACACGCGGCUAAUUUUUGUAUUUUUUGUAGAGGCAGAGAGGCAGGGUUUUAUUAUGUUGGCCAAGCUGGUCUUGAACUCCUGGCCUCAAGUGAUCUGCUCACCCCGGCCUCCCAAAGUGCUGAGAUUACAGGUGUGAGCCACCAUGCCCACCAACCUAUUUUUUAUUUUAAAAAAUUGACAGCAUACUAAAUGUUUGUAAUGCAAAUGAUAAAAUUGCUACAAUGAAAACAAGAAGUUGAGAAUUAGAUGAAGAGUUGAUUAAGGGAACUAUGAGUCACUGUGUUAGAGCAUGUAUAUUAUGAAAAUUAUAGCAGAAGUGAUAAAGGGUGACAAUUGUUACCUAUCUUCAAUCAAAAGCUCUUUGAAUAUCUUUCUUUUUUUUAAUUUUAUGAAUUUUUUUUACAGAGACAGGGUCUCACUAUAUUGCCCAGGUUGGUCUCGAACUCCUGGGCUCAAGGGAUCCUCUUGCCUUGGCCUCACAAAGUACCUGGAUUACAGGCAUGAGCCACAGUGCCUGGCCCUCUUUGAAUAUCUUUAAUGCUUUUAGAGAUUAGCAUCAGAGAAUUAUUAAUACUAGAGGGCACAAGGAAUUAGCCAUUGCCAGUGGACACCUACAUAGGUGUGACUAUGUGACUCAGUUUUAAAAAUGUGACACAAUGAAAAAAUUCCUUGGAUGUUAUGGAGGACGAAAAUUUUGUAAGUCCUAUCCAUUCUUUAAUGGAGAAACUAAAAUUUACAAUAUUACUUUAUUUAGCCCAAGAUUUUCUUAAGCUUUGUAUUUUCUAAUUCAGCUUUGGCUUACAGAAUCAUGCUUGAAGUUUGAGACUGCCAGCUUUCAACAGGCAGUUACUAGUGAAACUCUUUGGAAAGAUGAGAAGAUGUUGACAUAAGUGUAAUGUGAGACAAAGCAAAGUAAAAUGUAAUUUUUAAGAAAAUGUUGCCGGGUGUGAUGGUGGCUCAUGUUGCUGUUGGUUGCUAUGGGAGUGAACGAAGGGGGACGAAUGCAGAAAUGAAGACAAAGACAAAAAGAGUAUUUUUGGAAGAAGGGGUCAGGGGACUCCUUGCUUCUAGUGGGCAAGGGCCCUGAGCUUCUACAGCCCUUCAUAUUUAUUAGGUAGAAAGAGCAGGGAGGGAGAGGUAACAGUUGGUCAGCUGCUUGAUUUAUCACAGGUACACAUAAUUGCUUCCUUUGUACAACAGGCUUCAGAUGUUACUAUAGAUAAUCACAAGGAACACUGCGCUUGGGGCAUGACUGCCCUCAGCAACCCUUCUGGCGGCAGACACAGUUGUUAGUUUUCCAACAUCCUGCUUUCAUGAGAACAGUUUUCUGUUUGCUCAUAUAGCCUUCAGUGGUAUACUGAGUUGGUCACGACCUUCAUUCUUUCGGCCUGUAACAUCUCCCCAUUUUUGUUUUUGCAUUAAUUGAAUAAAGGUAAUUGCAGGUUGUGCAGCUCUCAAUUGCCGUUUGGUGGUCCAGCUGAUUUUGCAGACUGUUAACAAAAAACAAAAAUAUAAUAACAUUAAUCCCAUAGUUACAAAAAAGACAUUGAGAUGCUAUUUGAAGUAGGUCCCAGGGUUAAGGCUGUCUAAACCUUGCUGGAAUUCUGCCCAAGCUUUUAAAGAGGGCUGAAACGCUUGAGUCUGCUUAUUCAAGUUAAGGAUUUUACUUUGUAAAUCAUUAAUAUCAAAAGUAACAUUGAAUGUGAAAGCUCCCUGUAAAUGGGCUUUUACAAGGCUCAAUGGAUAUUCACUUUGGUUAUAUACCAAAUUGGUCACACAAAUAUGAGUAUGAUUAAAAUGACAACGCAUUGCUGCUGCAACUGCAAACUUUGUACUUGUUCCCCUAGCCAUAGAACAGUAGUCUUUAACAUUGCCACCUCUGUUUGUAUUUCGGUGUUAAUUUUAUUUUGAAGCAUCCAUGCCUGGUCGACUGUGCAUGUCCAGUUUUCCACAUAUUGAGCUGUUUGAAUGGAGCUGUGCGUUGCUGCUGAGGACAACACAACAGAGGUUAUUAAUGUAACUAAGGAGACUAUAACAAAAAUUAUCAUGCCUAAGGCUCUAUGAGCACGAUGAGUAAGCGGAGUAAAAAGGAGUUUCAUAAGAUGUAAAGCGGGGGUGGCUGCCCAAGGCUAAGAUAAAUUUACAGGAAUUCAUAAUCCAGGAACAUGACCUAGAAUUGUUAGGGUGGAUAUGUCAUGUGUUUGUAUUGUGCUAUGAUUAAGGCAAUGAUACAGUUGACAGGAAUCACAAGUCAAUUGGGCAUCAUCUACCUGGAGGUGGGUUUUUUUUGCUGCUAAGAAAAUAUAAGGAUUAAAAACAAAUUGUAAAUUGAGUGGUAAUAUUUUCUACAAGGGUAACAUUAAAACUGUGUUUAGCACAAUUACUAUUAUUGGAUAGUGUCCCAAUCCAAAUGCUGCCAUUCAUAAAUGGGAGUGCUGCUUUCCAUAUUGACUCCUGAAUUGGACCUCUCUUUCCUUGAUAAUGCCAUUGAGGCAAAGGUGAGCUAAAGCAUGUGCUGUGUCAAGCAAUUUGGGCAGCAGAUUGAGAUUGAAUUGCAAUGUGAUGUAGUGGGAGAUGUUAAAGUUUUGCCACCAGUUCCAGCAAAGUUAAUGCCAUGAGGUCUGAUGCUCAUGUCUCCCAACCAAAUGACCAUGGGGACCCCAGUAAAUAAUGUCUCCCAUUAGCAUGGACUGUUGUCUAGCUAGGGAGCUAAGACACGGGGUCCAAGGAGGGGGGUUAGAAUUAUCAAAGGGAGCCCAUUCUAUAUAAUUAAUACAAUUUGGGUGAUGGGGCCGGGAGUGAUUAGUAACUACACCAGUAAUAUUAGUAGAACUAAGGCCCAAUAGGUACGUAAAUUUUCCAUGGUAACUCAACCAUGCCUGGGAUUGAAUUGCAAGGCAACUGCAGUUGAGCAGUGUAUCCUGGGUGAUGCAUAAAGAAAGGCCCUCCAAUGGAGUGGUAUAAUUGAUACCAUUGUUCUGAGAGUCUAAUUGCUCUGUGUCAGGGGGAGUUAAGGGUCCCGGUGCCCAUGCUCCUUGAUCAUGAUAUAUCUCAGGAGGAGUGUCACCCCGGUCAUACUACCGGGGGGUUAGGAACAUAAGCCCAAUAUGUUUUUGCCUCUGCACAGGGAAAACAUAGCACACAGGAUAUCAUAGCUAGCAUGGCCAUAAACAUGGAGUCAGGGGUUUUUGCCUGACCCUGAUGCUCCAGCAGUUUCUCAUCUUCUUGUGUGGUUUUCUUGAUCUGUAAAACACAAGCAUACCCUCAUCCCCAUGUCAGUAAAUCUACCAGGCCUUUCCAUUGUCCUUCUUCCAGGGAUUUCCAUAAUACUUUUGGGUAAACUUUCCUUUUUCCCUCUAACAUUUGCCAGUGUCAUUCUACCGGAGUCUUAUUAUCUGUACCAGGAGUUAAAAAAUUUAAAGUAAAUAAUGCUAAAUGUAGUAUUGUUUGAGGUGGUAACUGGUCUCCUAUACCUCCUUUUUGUUUUUUCAGCGCAUGUUGUAAUGUUUGAUGUGCCUGCUCUAUAAUUCCUUGUCCUCGAGGGUUAUAAGGAAUUCUUGUUUUGUGAGUGACUGCCUAUAACUGUAAACAAUUUUGAAAAGCAUGACUAACUUAAGCAGGUCCAUUGUCAGUUUUUAAUUGUUUAGGGACCCUCAUAUCGGCAAAUGACAACAGACAAUGUCAUUGGACAUGGCCAGCUGUUUCACCUGUUUGACAUGUAGCAUGCAGCAUAUGAGAAUAAGUGUCUAUAGUCAUAUGAACAUAGCUAAGUUUGUCAAAGGCUGCUAUAUGUGUAACAUCAAUUUGCCAGAUUUCAUUUGGAGCUAAGCCUCGUGGGUUACAUCCUUCUACCGGUAUAACACCAGGGACAUGCUGACAAGUGGGGCAGGCUUGCACAAUAGCUCGAGCCUGGCUUCGAGGCAGAUGAAACAUACAAGUAAGGGCAGAGGUGUUUUGAUGCAGUAAUGCAUGAGAGGCUUCAGCUUGCUGAAACACAGAACCAAUCAAUUUAUCUGCUCUAUCAUUACCUAGAGGUAGUGGUCCAGGAAGUUGUGUGUCAGAGCGAAUAUGAGAAAUUUGAAAAGGAGCAGCAUGAGAGCAAACAGCUCGCUGAAGUCUUAGAAACAAGUUAAACAGCUCUGGUUCUAGGGUGCUUUUAAUAGUAGCAGUCUCAAUGCGACUGGCUACAUUUACAACAUAGGCUAAAUCACAGACAAUAUUAAUAGGAGAGGAAGCAGUGAGCUGUAAAACCUGAAUAACUGCCAUUAAUUCUGAGCAUUGAGCUGAAACACCAGGGAUUUUUAUUGUUUUAAUAUGCUUAGGUCCAUAAAUAGAUGCUCAGACUUUGGAAGAGCCGUCAGUGAAAUAAGUCUGGCCACCUGGAAUAGGCUUGUGAUGAGUAAUCACAGGGAGGAUAAAAGGGUAAACUUUAUAAAAUUGCAAAACUUUGUCUGAUGGAUAAUGAUUAUCUAUUAUUCCUUUGCUUCAGCCAACAUCGUAGAGCGAUGAAGCUCAGUUCCCACAUCCUGACAAGCUUUGAUAAAAUUUCCUAAGCUUUUUAUACAUCUCACAGAUGCCAAUGCAUGUUUACAGUCCGUGUUUGCAUUCUCAAAAGCUAGUUAAGGUUAGCAUUUCUGUAGCCAUGGUAAGAGAAAUCUGACACUUCACUGCCUAUGGUAAUCUUGCAAGAAAAUGUGCAUAGAGCUCCUGUGACCCUUUCAUGAUAUGUAAGAGAUUGUACUGGGACCCUUUCCUCUGGAAUUGUGGCCCAGGUGCGUUUAACAGCCAAGGCACACUGCUUACAAGCAGCGUCUGGGAGUGCUAUUUGAUGUUCUAGGUCUGAAUAGGGGCCACUGCCUAACAGCAUCCUCUGUAAUGUCUCUGUGUCCAGCAGCACGAUUCUAUCUAGCCUGGUCUGCACACAGUUCUUGCCAAUUUAAAUACCAUAUCAGGUAUGCACUAGCAGACAAACAAGUGCAAGCCAAAUGCUUUACAUCAAAGGGUGGAAGGCGCAUAGCGCCAAAUAGAUUCUAGCAGUCCUAAAGUAAAUGGGCUUUGUAUUCCAUUAUUAACUACACUAGCUUUUAAUUCCUUCAGCAACUUAAAUUCUAGUGGGGUGUGUUCAUGAAUAAACUGCUGUGGAUUAUGUGGAUCAGGCCUUACGGAAAUAGGAAAAGCUCAAGGUCCUAAGGGUUCUCCAGCCAUAGCAGUAGAGUGUAAAGUUCUUUGUAUUGGGGUCUCUAUUUCUGCUACUGAAGGAGGCGGUUCAGAUGUUUCUGCUACUAGAGGGGGUGACACAGGCCAAUUUUCAUCCUCCUGCUCCUGUUUAUUAUUUUUAAUUGGCGCUGUUGAGAGAACAGAAAGAUUCUUUCAAAUUUUUUGACUCUGAACAUGACUCCUGCUGUCUAGCAGAAUAAGAAAUGAAUAAUGGCAGGAUGAACUAAACUCCAAAUAUAAAAAAGAAAAUAGCCAAAUUCUUCCCCCAUGUUACCCUGAUUCAGAAACUUCCCGUUCCCAGUACCUCUUUAGGGCACUGACCUUAUAUUAGCUGUCAGCAGACUCGUCGCAGGGUUUCUCAUUCUCGUUCUUCUUGUCAGUGUCAGUUUCUCUGCUCCAGCAGACCUUCACUCACGUCCCUGUCCUAGGUGCCAGUUGUCGCUGUUGGUUGUUAUGGGAGUGAACGAAGGGGGAUGAAUGCAGAAACGAAGACAAAGACAAAAAGUAUUUUUGGAAGAAGGGGUCAGGGGGCUCCUUCUAGUGAGCAAGGGCCCUGAGCUUCUACAGCCCUUCGUAUUUAUUAGGUAGAAAGAGCAGGGAGGGAGAGGUAGCAGUUGGUCAGUUGCUUGAUUUAUCACAGGUAUACAUAAUUGCUUUCUUUGUACAACAGGCUUCAGAUGUUCCUAUAGAUAAUCACAAGGAACACUGUGCUUGGGGUGUGACUGCCCUCAGCAACCCUUCUGGCAGCAGACACAGUUGUUAGUUUUCCAACAUCCUGCUUUCAUGAGAACAGUUUUCUAUUUGCUCAUAUAGCCUCCAGUGGUAUACUGAGUUGGUCACGACCCUCAUUCUUUCGGCCUGUAACAGGCUCAUGCCUGUAAUGCCAGCACUUUUGGAGGCCGAGGCAAGAGGAUAGCUUGAGCUCAGGAGUUGGAGACCAGCCUGGGCAACACGGUGAAACCCCAUCUCUGCAAAAAUUAGCCUGGUGUGGUGGGGUGCGCCUGUAGUCUCAGCUGCUUGUGGGGCUGAGGCGGGAGAAUAGCUUGAGCUCCAGGGGUCGAGGCUGCAGUGAGCCAUAAUGGUGCUGCUGCAUUCCAGCCUGGGUGACAAAGUGAGACUAUCUCAAAAAAAAAAACGGCUGUUAGAUAAAAAUGAAGACAAACAACAUUUGCAAGGAUAUAAAUCUUAACCCAUUUAUUGGGGGUAUAGGCUCUGGUGUCAGAUUUCCAUCUGUCCUGUAUUUUGUAACCACAAAAUUGUCCUGGCUGGAUUAAUUGUAAGGAAGUCCCUUUAAACACAUCUAGACUUCCAAAGUUUGUUUACAUACUAAUUAGUUGUCAUGAAAAGCUGCAUUCAACCCAGGGUCUGAGAUGCCUUUUGUAUAUGAAAAGUGCUUCUCUUUCUGACACUGACUGAAUUACAUACAUAACAGAUUCAUUUAUUUAAAAACAAUUUAAGAGGCUUUUUCUAUAAUGCUGAACCUGCUGUGUGGUAUUUAUGUUUAAUUCUGGUCAAAUUUUCAAAACUAAUAAACACUGCAAUUCAAAACCAUUAAUUAUCAAGCAUAGACCAAGUAUCUGAGGUUAUGAGCACAUAUUUAAGAGGUUAGACUCUGGCAUUCCAGACAUUGCAAAUAAUACUUUUCUCAUUUCUAAAUUUCCUAGAAACAAGUGGAGAUUUGUAAAAGGAAAUAAUACUCUUUAAAACAUUUAUUUUUGACUCAGGAUCUGGCUCUGUUGCCCUAGCUAGAGUGCAGUGGUGCCAUCAUCACAGCUCACACAAUAGCCUGGAACUACUGGGCUCAAACCAUCCUCCCACCUCAGCCUCCCAAGUAGCUGGGACUGCAGAUGCAGGCCAUCAUGUCCCGCUAAGUUUUAUUUUAUUUUUGUAGAGACAGAGUCUAUGUUGCUCAGGCUGGUCCUGAACUCCCGGCAUCAAGUGAUCCUCCCACCUCCCAAUAAAACAUGUACUGAUGGCCAGGCACUUGGCUCACGCCUGUAAUCCCAGCACUUUGGGAGGCCGAGGCGGGCAGAUCAUGAGGUCAAGAGAUCAAGACCAUUCUGGCCAACAUGGUGAAACCCUGUCUCUACUAAAAAUACAAAAAUUAGCCAGGUGUGGUGGCACGCGCCGGUAGUCUCAGCUACUCCGGAGGCCGAGGCAGGAUAAUUGCUUGAACCCCAGAGGCGGAGGUUGCAGUGAGCCGAGAUCGUGCCACUGCACUCCAGCCUGGCGACAGAGCAAGACUCUGUCUCAAAAAAAAAAAAAAAACCAAAAACCAAAAAAUCAAAACCAAAACCAUGUAUUGAUAUCAAAGUUUUUUUAUCCUGGCAGGGCACAGUGGCUCACGCCUGUAAUCCCAGCACUUUGGGAGGCUGAGGCAGGUGGAUCACGAGGUCAGGAGUUCAAGACCAGCCUGGCCAAGAUGGUGAAGACCCGUCUCUACUAAAAAUACAAAAAUUAGCCAGGCGCAGUGGCAGGCGCCUGUAAUCCCAGCUACUCGGGAGGCUGAGGCAGGAGAAUCGUUUGAAACCAGGAGGGUAGAGGUUGCAGUGAGCCAAGAUUGUGCCACUGUACUCCAGCCUGGGUGACAGAGUGAUACUAUGUCUCAAAAAAAAAAAAAAAAAAAAAAGAAAAAGAAAAAAGAAAGAAAGUUGCUUUAUCUUUAAAACUAUAUAUAUUGUUUUCACCCCUACAUAGUCCUUGCCUCCCAGACAUCUCCUCACUAACGUCAGUAGACAAUUUGGCAUCUGAUGGUUUGAAAUAGUUUCUGUAAUCAAAUCCUGAAUAAAAUCCAUUUUAAAGCCUAUAGAGAGUUAAGAAACAAGUAUAAAAAUUUGUUGAAGUGUUUAUUGAACGAACAUAAUACAUUUGUCUGAGAAGAGAUACGCACACUAAAGUCCCCUACAAGCAACUAAUGGGAAAAGAUCACACAGGUAACUCCAAUUUUUAAAAAUAUGAUCAUGAAAGAUAAUUGUAGUUGGUGUUUAUGGAGCAUCUUUUGGAGGGGGGGGAACCCCCAACAACUCUACAAAUUGAGAUCCAGAACAGAGAAAGUCAUCAGGUGAAAUGCCAAGACCAAAAAACUUAUUUUAUUUGAAUUCCAUUUUCUGAGAAGAAAACUAGUAUUGCAGCAGAGUCAUUUAAUGAAAACUUAACAGUUUCACUGAGGAUUCAGAUAUCCGUUGACAUGUACAUGACAAUCUUUAGAUUAAAUCAUAAAAAGUUGACUGUCUCCAAGAAAUUGUUAUUUCACAAAUUUAUCUAUUUUAAAUAUAACACUGAAGUUAUUACAUAAACACUGACGUCAAAAUCAUGCCAGAGCAGUGUUACUAUUUUUACAUGUAUAUGAGUAUUCAUGACCUUUAAUGUCUGGACACAUUCUAGGUCACAGAACAGAAGCAAAUUUUCACUUUUGUGUGUUUUUGGUACAGUGACAUGUCUGGUUCCUUUUGAGCUAGAUAUAUCUGCUUAAAUAAUUAACACUAUUGGAUAUUAGUCCCUCAAAGUAAAUGUCUAUUUUACCUGGUAUUCUAGGAAGAGAGAGAGAAAGAAAAUAACCAAAGAAAUGUGACUGCAAUCUAAUUUCCAAGAGAGAAACUCUACUUCUGAAUACUGGCCCCAUACUGCAUAUUUUAUGAAUAUUUUUCUCACAACUUUUCUUAAAACUUAAGUUCUCUCUUAGGAAUGUCUUUAGUUAGGUCUUACAAAGAAACUGUUUAAUACACAAUGUUAACAUCUACUAGGCAAAAGAUGCUUGCUUCUCUUCCCACAAAAGCCAAACAGAAAACACAAAGUGUUACUAACGUUUUCUAUUUAUUCAUUAAUAAAAAGUGCAUAGUACAAGCCCUUUAUCCCAAUCCAAGUACUCAGAAAAAGAUUAACAACAGACCCUGGAUGGCACAGACAUAAUUUGUUUGGCGUGAUUUAAACAUAUAAAAUCAGUAAUUAACAUUUAGCAUAUCACACGACCACUUUUGCUUUUAACAAACUAAUCUUCACACAUGGUAACAAAUACCUAUGAUUUUUCAUUUAGAAAUAUUAUAAGAAGACUAAACUUACUAUUGCAACAACAAAAAUUUAACCCAUUAAACUAGAAACUCUCUUCAUUUUUCCUUCUUCAAAUUACUGUUUUGUGUCUUAAACUGAGUUGGUCAAAUUUGAGCACAUAAUUCAUGUAGAGUGACAGACUUUCAUUUAGAGUGAUAGACUUCCAAGGUUCCUUUGAAAAUUUAAGAUACUGGUAAUUCCAUAAACACUCCCACACCACAUACCACAAAAACACUAAAAGUAGCCAUAGAAUAGCUGUAUUCAAUAAUUAUUUUGGAAAAUCCACAUUAUGAAAUAUGACUUGCUGACCAUGGAACAGUGCUUGGAUAGAUAACAUGAAAAAAAUGAAAAACAUCUUUUUUUUUUUUUUUUUGAGACGGAGUUUCACUCUUGUUGCCCAGGCUGGAGUGCAAUGGCGUGAUCUUGGCUCACUGCAACCUCCACCUCCCAGGUUCAAGUGAUUCUCCUGCCUCAGCUUCCCAAGUAGCUGGGAUUACAGGCAUGUGCCACCACACCAGGCUACUUUUGUAUUUUUAGUGGAGAUGGAGUUUUUCCAUGUUGGCCAGGCUGGUCUCGAACUCCUGACCUCAGGUGAUCCAGCUCCCUCGGUCUCCCAAAGUGUUGGGAUUACAGGCAUGAGCCACCGUGCCCAGCCUGAAAAAAAUCUUUUACUAGAAACAGUUCCAAUGUUAACUUUUCCCACAUGGAAAGCAAAACAAAACAAAACAAAACAAACAAACAAAUGCAACAAAACAACCUCCCACUAUUAUUGUGCAUAAAAACACAUUAAAUGACUCUAAAACAAAAUAAACUUUUUUUUUUUUGGUAGAGACAGGGUCUUGCUAUGUUGCCCAGGCUAGUCUCAAACUCCUGGGCUCAAGCAGUUCUUGCCUCAGCCUCCCAAAUUGCUGGGAUUACAGGCAUGAGCCACCAUGACUGGCCUAAAACAAAAUAAAUUCUUAAUGGCAUUUGUGGAAUGUGUUUAAGAGCCAAAACUGUGAAAAUGUAAGCUUUAUCUUUCUUUUUUCCUAGAUUAUUUAAAGAGGAUUGUAGCCACACUUCAGAUGAAUGUUUACAAGCCAAAUAAUGAUUUAAGAGUGUGCUCAAUAAAAAGGCCAUAGGUUUAAGAAUUAAAUGGAAUAAUAUAAAUUACUAGGUCAACAAGAAUAUUUCAUGUAUAGUACACUGUCUAAGGAAUGCAGAGAAAUUUUACAAGAAACCCAAGACUAAAUACUUCAUUAAGAACACUGGUUACUAAGUAAAUAGAUGGCUCAUGUAGGAAAAAGCUAAUAUAUGUAGAUGUAAUGUCAACUAAGUGCAUGUGACAGAAAUGAAGAACUAGGAAUAAGAAUCCAGAUUUUCUGGCCAGGCACGGUGGCUCACAUCUGUAAUCCUAGCACUUUGGGAGGCCAUAGUGGGUGGAUCACCUGAGGUCAGGAGUUUGAGACCAGCCUGGCCUACAUGGCGAAACCCCAUCUCUACUAAAGAUACAAAAAUUAGCUGGGCGUGGUGGUGGGCACUUAUAAUCCCAGCUACUCAGGAGGCUGAGGAAGGAGAAUCGCUCGAACCUGGGGGUGGAUGUUGCAGUGAGCCAAGGUCGCGCCACUUCACUCCAGCUUGGGCGAAAGAGCAAAACUCCAUCUCAAAACAACAACCAAAAAGAAUCCAGAUUUUUAGGUGUCUAAUACUAGACAUUCUGUAUCCAAGUUUCAGCCAUUUCAUCCAAUAAAGCCUUCUAAAGCCUUUUUUUUUUGAGACAGGGUCUCACUCUGUCACUCAAGCUGGAGUGCAGUGGCGUGAUCUUGGCUUACUGCAACCUGUCUCCCAGGCUCAAGCGAUUCUCCUGCCUCAGCCUCCCGAGUAGCUAAGACUACAGGCCGUGUCACCAAACCCGGCUAAUUUUUUGUAGGCACGGGGUUUCACCGUCUUGGCCAGGCUGGUCUCAACCUCCUGACCUCAAGUGAUCCACCUGCCCCAGCCUCCCAAAGUGCUGGGAUUACAGGCAUGAGUCACUGCGCCCAGCUCCCAAAGCCAAUUUUCAAUUAUUUGUGAGCCAUAGAUUCAGUGACUACAUCAAUAUCUCUUGCCAGGGAUUGGCCUAACAGCUCAGAGAACAGAUUGUUAGGAUAUAUGGGCAAGCCUUCUAAGUUCAAGAGGCAAGAGCAGAAAAUGGAAUGCUAUAGGGAUUUAGCUCCAUCUUAAGCCAUUCUGGCCCUUUCUGCUCUACUUUACCAGCUAUAGAGUUAGGAAGGCUUCCAGUAGGCCACAGCAAGAGGAAAAACCUUUAUUCUGUGGGGCUCAUUUAUCCAGGAUUUAACUUACCUGUGUCAUGUUACCGAUCUAUUAACACAAGUAAUUUAGAGUUGGUUAUAUUAUUUCAAGAAAUUGAGCACAAAGCCAGGAUGUACAAGGAGGAAUUCAAACAAUCAAUAUUGGAUUAUAUAAUGAAAAGAUGCCCUUACAAUGUUUAUGAUCUAGAAUGUAAUCAUAAUAAAGGGGGGAAAAUACCUUAUGAGUAUCACAAUUGUAUCAGAGACUAUUAAACAGUACAAUGAUACAGAGAAUUUAUUCAAUUCAUACAAGUAAUUUACCAGAUCUAAACAGUGAAUAGACUGACCUAAGGGGAAAAAAAUCCUUACAUUGAUAGCAAAAUAUCUUCUAGCCCCCAUAAAUAAUCUGCAAUCAUUUGCUAGGAAAAAAACUUCAUAACCAUAUGGGUCAUGCAGACAUUUUUAUUUAUUUAUUUAUUUUGAGACAGAGUCUCGCUCUGUCGCCCUGAUUGGAGUGCAGUGGCACGAUCUCAGCUUACUGCAACCUCCGUCUCCCAGGUUCAAGCAAUUUCCUGCCUCAGCUUCCCCAGUAGCUGGGAUUAUAGGCACACACCACCAUGCCUGGCUAAUUUUUGCAUUUUUAGUAGAGAUAAGGUUUCACCAUGUUGGUCAGGCUGGUCUCGAACUCCUGACCUCAGGUGAUUCGCCUGCCUCGGCCUCCCAAAGUGCUGGGAUUACAGGCGUGAGCCACCGUGCCCAGCCCAUGCAGACAUUUUUAAGUGCUAUUGGUAUUCACUUUAUUUCAAACUGAGCAAAACAAUACAACCUUUUACUUUUUUAUACAUUUUAAAAUUUCUCUCAUAUUAACAUUCCUUCCUACCCCAAUCCAUCCCAUCACCAAACAGGAAUGAGAUAAGGAGUGAAAAAAAGAUGUAUGUUUCUCAUUUUCCUUCUUUUCCCUUGAAGUAAACCAGUAAUUUAUUAAAAUAUUUUAUAGGUCAGAGGAUAACAAAAGACUCAAUGUAGUAAAUAAGUAAAUAGGCAUUCAAAUAUCAGUAACCUAACAGGCCCUAAUACAGCUUUAAGAUUUUCUUCUUUUUUUUUUU
Molecule: long non-coding RNA, 19565 nt
Filed under: Homo sapiens (human)
Lineage: Eukaryota; Metazoa; Chordata; Mammalia; Primates; Hominidae
Description: non-protein coding UGDH-AS1:1
Source: RNAcentral